This 500-nucleotide ribosomal RNA is filed under the name uncultured Glomeromycotina. RNAcentral's name for it is "partial small subunit ribosomal RNA". It matches the Rfam family "Eukaryotic small subunit ribosomal RNA", at positions 591 to 1092 of the family's 1831-position model. The record is from RNAcentral. Lineage: Eukaryota; Fungi; Glomeromycota.
CCAAUAGCGUAUAUUAAAGUUGUUGCAGUUAAAAAGCUCGUAGUUGCAUUUCGGGGUUAGUAGGUUGGUCAUGCCUCUGGUAUGUACUGGUCUCACUGAUUCCUCCUUCCUGAUGAACUUUAAUGCCAUUUCUUUGGUGUUUUGGGGAAUUUGGACUGUUACUUUGAAAAAAUUAGAGUGUUUAACGCAAGCUAACGCUUGAAUACAUUAGCAUGGAAUAAUGAAAUAGGACGUUCGAUCCUAUUUUGUUGGUUUCUAGGAUUGACGUAAUGAUUAAUAGGGAUAGUUGGGGGAAUUAGUAUUCAAUGGUCAGAGGUGAAAUUCUUGGAUUUAUUGAAGACUAACUACUGCGAAAGCAUUUGCCAAGGAUGUUGUCAUUAAUCAAGAACGAAAGUUAGGGGAUCGAAGACGAUCAGAUACCGUCGUAGUCUUAACCAUAAACUAUGCCGACUAGGGAUCGGACGAAGUUAAUUUUAUAAUGACGCGUUCGGCACCUUACG